CCUACGGGAGACAGCAGUGGGGAAUAUUGGACAAUGGGGGGAACCCUGAUCCAGCGACGCCGCGUGAGUGAAGAAGUAUUUCGGUAUGUAAAGCUCUAUCAGCAGGGAAGAAAGAAAUGACGGUACCUGACUAAGAAGCCCCGGCUAACUACGUGCCAGCAGCCGCGGUAAUACGUAGGGGGCAAGCGUUAUCCGGAUUUACUGGGUGUAAAGGGAGCGUAGACGGCGAUGCAAGUCUGAAGUGAAAGGCGGGGGCACAACCCCCGGACUGCUUUGGAAACUGUAUGGCUGGAGUGCAGGAGAGGUAAGUGGAAUUCCUAGUGUAGCGGUGAAAUGCGUAGAUAUUAGGAGGAACACCAGUGGCGAAGGCGACUUACUGGACUGUAACUGACGUUGAGGCUCGAAAGCGUGGGGAGCAAACAGGAUUAGAUACCCGAGUAGUC
RNAcentral lists this ribosomal RNA (443 nucleotides) under uncultured bacterium. RNAcentral's name for it is "partial 16S ribosomal RNA". It matches the Rfam family "Bacterial small subunit ribosomal RNA", at positions 338 to 795 of the family's 1533-position model. The record is from RNAcentral.